AACGAACGCUGGCGGCAUGCCUAACACAUGCAAGUCGAACGAGACCUUCGGGUCUAGUGGCUCACGGGUGCGUAACGCGUGGGAACCUGCCCGUAGGUUCGGAAUAACUCUCCGACAGGGGUGCUAAUACCGGAUAAUUUCUUCGGACCAAAGAUUUAUCGACCUUGGAUGGGCCCGCGUUGGAUUAGCUAGUUGGUAGGGUAAAAGCCUACCAAGGCGACGAUCCAUAGCUGGUCUGAGAGGAUGAUCAGCCACACUGGGACUGAGACACGGCCCAGACUCCUACGGGAGGGAGCAGUGGGGAAUAUUGGACAAUGGGCGAAAGCCUGAUCCAGCAAUGCCGCGUGAGUGAUGAAGGCCUUAGGGUAGUAAAGCUCUUUUACCCGGGAUGAUAAUGACGGUACCGGGAGAAUAAGCUCCGGCUAACUCCGUG
RNAcentral lists this ribosomal RNA (433 nucleotides) under uncultured bacterium. RNAcentral describes it as "partial 16S ribosomal RNA". It matches the Rfam family "Bacterial small subunit ribosomal RNA", at positions 29 to 507 of the family's 1533-position model. The record is from RNAcentral.